This 416-nucleotide ribosomal RNA is filed under the name Panstrongylus megistus. Its description in RNAcentral is "eukaryotic LSU rRNA". It matches the Rfam family "Eukaryotic large subunit ribosomal RNA", at positions 425 to 730 of the family's 3401-position model. Lineage: Eukaryota; Metazoa; Arthropoda; Insecta; Hemiptera; Reduviidae. The record is from RNAcentral.
GCGACCUGGUCAAAUAAUAUUCUAAGUAUUUGGCUAAUUUGUCUGUUUUUAGGCAAUACCGAAAGGUAUUUCCUUUAACAGUUUUAGCCAAUUUAAAUACUGGAUAAAAUUGACAGUAACGAACCAUGGUGUUGAGCCACUUGAAAUUGUAUAUAUUUUUAUAAUAUGUAUAAUGGAAAGUGUCCUUGUGUGGCUGUUUGCAAGUGGGUUGGUUAUAUAGUUUUAGUCGGAUUUCGGUCCGUCUAGCUAUUCCGCCUACUGUUGGUAAACUGUUCCUUGGACAGUGCUUAUAACACCGGUCGGCAGCGAUUCAGGUUCAGGCUCUUAUCCGACCCGUCUUGAAACACGGACCAAGGAGUUUAGCGUGUACGCAAGUCAUUGGGUGUAUAAAACCCAAAGGCGCAAUGAAAUUGAAA